GAGGGUAUAGCUCAAAUGGUAGAGUGCAUGCUUAGCAUGCAUGAGGUCCUGGGUUCAAUCCCCAGAACCUCCU
Molecule: transfer RNA, 73 nt
Organism: Camelus ferus (Wild Bactrian camel)
Lineage: Eukaryota; Metazoa; Chordata; Mammalia; Artiodactyla; Camelidae
Rfam family: tRNA
About the family: Transfer RNA (tRNA) molecules are approximately 80 nucleotides in length. Their secondary structure includes four short double-helical elements and three loops (D, anti-codon, and T loops).
Source: Rfam